GACGAACGCUGGCGGCGUGCCUAAUACAUGCAAGUAGAACGCUGAAGGAGGAGCUUGCUUCUCUGGAUGAGUUGCGAACGGGUGAGUAACGCGUAGGUAACCUGCCUGGUAGCGGGGGAUAACUAUUGGAAACGAUAGCUAAUACCGCAUAAGAUUGACUAUUGCAUGAUAGUCAGUUAAAAGGUGCAAUUGCAUCACUACCAGAUGGACCUGCGUUGUAUUAGCUAGUUGGGGGGUAACGGCUCACCAAGGCGACGAUACAUAGCCGACCUGAGAGGGUGAUCGGCCACACUGGGACUGAGACACGGCCCAGACUCCUACGGGAGGCAGCAGUAGGGAAUCUUCGGCAAUGGACGGAAGUCUGACCGAGCAACGCCGCGUGAGUGAAGAAGGUUUUCGGAUCGUAAAGCUCUGUUGUAAGAGAAGAACGAGUGUGAGAGUGGAAAGUUCACACUGUGACGGUAUCUUACCAGAAAGGGACGGCUAACUACGUG
This 494-nucleotide ribosomal RNA is filed under the name uncultured bacterium. Its description in RNAcentral is "partial 16S ribosomal RNA". It matches the Rfam family "Bacterial small subunit ribosomal RNA", at positions 28 to 507 of the family's 1533-position model. The record is from RNAcentral.